AGAGUUUGAUUAUGGCUCAGGAUGAACGCUAGCGAUAGGCCUAACACAUGCAAGUCGAGGGGCAGCACAUGAAGUAGCAAUACGGAUGGUGGCGACCGGCGCACGGGUGAGUAACGCGUAUGCAACCUGCCUACAACAGGGGAAUAACCCGUUGAAAGACGGACUAAUACCCCAUAACACAGGGAUCCCGCAUGGGAAUAUUUGUUAAAGAUUUAUCGGUUGUAGAUGGGCAUGCGUUCCAUUAGCUUGUUGGUGAGGUAACGGCUCACCAAGGCAACGAUGGAUAGGGGAACUGAGAGGUUUAUCCCCCACACUGGUACUGAGACACGGACCAGACUCCUACGGGAGGCAGCAGUGAGGAAUAUUGGUCAAUGGACGCAAGUCUGAACCAGCCACGUCGCGUGAAGGAAGACGGCCCUACGGGUUGUAAACUUCUUUUGUAAGGGAAUAAAGUGUAGUACGUGUACUAUUUUGCAUGUACCUUACGAAUAAGGAUCGGCUAACUCCGUGCCAGCAGCCGCGGUAAUACGGAGGAUCCGAGCGUUAUCCGGAUUUAUUGGGUUUAAAGGGUGCGCAGGCGGGAGAUUAAGUCGGCGGUGAAAUUUUGCAGCUCAACUGUAAAAGUGCCUUCGAAACUGGUUUCCUUGAGUGUGGAUGAAGUAGGCGGAAUUUGUGGGUGUAGCGGUGAAAUGCAUAGAUAUCACGAGGAACUCCGGAUUGCGCAGCAGCUUACUAAACCAUAACUGACGCUCAGGCACGAAGGCGUGGGAUCAAACAGAUAGAAUACCCUGUAGUC
RNAcentral lists this ribosomal RNA (796 nucleotides) under uncultured Porphyromonadaceae bacterium. Its description in RNAcentral is "bacterial SSU rRNA". It matches the Rfam family "Bacterial small subunit ribosomal RNA", at positions 8 to 795 of the family's 1533-position model. The record is from RNAcentral. Lineage: Bacteria; Pseudomonadati; Bacteroidota; Bacteroidia; Bacteroidales; Porphyromonadaceae.